This is a long non-coding RNA of Paramisgurnus dabryanus, 375 nucleotides long. RefSeq lists it as uncharacterized. Lineage: Eukaryota; Metazoa; Chordata; Actinopteri; Cypriniformes; Cobitidae. The record is from RefSeq and is a predicted model, not a curated record.
CAUUCCGAACAUGUAAGAGCUUAUGUUUAUUUGUCGUUUUUAUUGCAAGCAGCAUGACGCACAGGAGCAGACAUCACUUACAUCACUUCCGGGAAAUUUGAACAAAGAGCGCUCAGUUGCAGCAUGAAGAAUAAUCAAGCACCAUCACAACAGCAUUGUCUGGGGAUGUUGGUGCUGCCAUUCGGCCAGUAUCUGAAUGCCACAUUUCACUGGAUUGUGUCAAAUGAUGUGGGCUACAUGAAGUACCGGUAGCUAGUUAUCCUCCAGACAGUGACGGACCAUGUCUUUCUCUCAUUUCGGCCAUGUGGCGCGUGCCCGCUCGCGGUGUGAAGCGCGUCCACGCUAUUCUCCGAGAUGCACUUGACAGCCUUUUGU